CCACAUCUUUAGCUCUUAGUUUUCCCCCACAAUGCUCUUUUUCCUGAAAGUCUUUCGUAGAUAUUAAUUUCCCUCUCCCAGAAGGAUUAGCUAUUGCGUUUACCCCUAGUAUUAAGAUGAGUGUAAGGUACCUAGCUUGCUCCCAAAGGCAGGGUAGAGAUGAGCCAAUCUGAGAUAAUGCAUCUGAUAUUUUUUCCCAGGAUUGAUAGCAAAUCUAGUAAUGUGAAGA
RNAcentral lists this long non-coding RNA (229 nucleotides) under Homo sapiens (human). Its description in RNAcentral is "non-protein coding lnc-CCDC89-6:1". Lineage: Eukaryota; Metazoa; Chordata; Mammalia; Primates; Hominidae. The record is from RNAcentral.